CGUAAGCACUAUACUUCGUUCUUCGUAUAAUAUAAUUUUAAAUGAUAACAUAGUAAUAUUUCUGCAAUAAAAUGCUUUUUUUAUUUAUUAUUGUACUAGCAAACCAAUUAACUAAUUUGAACAGCCUGGAAGCUCCCAAGGGUAUGAAAGUUUCGUUCCUGGAGCCGCUAGGGUUUUAUGUGGAAUGGGAACUGGUUCCUAGAACUAUUGAGGAUCGCAUCUCUGGAUAUAAGGUUAAACUAUGGAAGAUUAAUGAAGAAAUCUCCCGAAACUUUAAACUGUUAUUUGGUGAACAAGUCCCAGGAUUAGAAAAGAAAGAUGUAUCACAAGAGCAGUUUGAAAACCACUACACUCCGAAGAACGAACCGACAGUAUUCGAUGUAACUAAUGGUUAUCUUAAAGCCAUAAAGAUUAAGGAUAUCAAAGAAGAGACACUAUAUGAAGUCCGCGUUGCUGCCGUGAGAGGCUCAGAAAUUGGUCCCAUGUCGGACCCGUUGAGAGUCAAAGUCAUAUUCCGGAACACAACUACUGUGAUGCUCGCCAAAAGAAGCUUAAAUUAUUGUGAGCUAUCAACAUUAAACGGUCUUGGUGAUCGUUCAGUAAAUAAGGACGAUGCCACGUUAUAUCACACUCGUUUGUAGAUGGGGUCGAGGACACUCAUUGUAAAUUUAUUAAUCAGGCAUUAUAUACAAACGACAUUCACUUGUAAAUUUAUAAAUGAGACCGAGGUUAUUAUAUACAGGCGACACCUACUUGUAAAUUUAUUAAUGAUGCCGAGGUUAUUAUAUACAGGCGACACCUACUUGUAAAUUUAUUAAUGAGACCGAGGUUAUUAUAUACAGGCGACACCUACUCGUAAAUUUAUUAAUGAUGCCGAGGUUAUUAUAUACAGGCGACACCUACUUGUAAAUUUAUUAAUGAUGCCGAGGUUAUUAUAUACAGGCGACACCUACUUGUAAAUUUAUUAAUGAUGCCGAGGUUAUUAUAUACAGGCGACACCUACUUGUAAAUUUAUAAAUGAGACCGAGGUUAUUAUAUACGGCGACACCUACUUGUAAAUUUAUUAAUGAUGCCGAGGUUAUUAUAUACAGGCGACACCUACUUGUAAAUUUAUAAAUGAGACCGAGGUUAUUAUAUACAGGCGACACCUACUUGUAAAUUUAUUAAUGAUGCCGAGGUUAUUAUAUACAGGCGACACCUACUUGUAAAUUUAUUAAUGAGACCGAGGUUAUUAUAUACAGGCGACACCUACUUGUAAAUUUAUUAAUGAUGCCGAGGUUAUUAUAUACAGGCGACACCUACUUGUAAAUUUAUAAAUGAGGCCGAUGUUAUCAUAUACAAACGACACCUAUUUGUAAAUUUAUUAAUGAGACCGAGGUUAUUAUAUAUAGGCGACACCUACUUGUAAAUUUAUUAAUGAUGCCGAGGUUUUUAUAUACAGGCGACACCUACUUGUAAAUUUAUUAAUGAUGCCGAGGUUAUUAUAUACAGGCGACACCUACUUGUAAAUUUAUUAAUGAUGCCGAGGUUAUUAUAUACAGGCGACACCUACUUGUAAAUUUAUAAAUGAGACCGAGGUUAUUAUAUACGGCGACACCUACUUGUAAAUUUAUUAAUGAUGCCGAGGUUAUUAUAUACAGGCGACACCUACUUGUAAAUUUAUUAAUGAUGCCGAGGUUAUUAUAUACAGGCGACACCUACUUGUAAAUUUAUUAAUGAUGCCGAGGUUAUUAUAUACAGGCGACACCUACUUGUAAAUUUAUUAAUGAUGCCGAGGUUAUUAUAUACAGGCGACACCUACUUGUAAAUUUAUAAAUGAGACCGAGGUUAUUAUAUACGGCGACACCUACUUGUAAAUUUAUUAAUGAUGCCGAGGUUAUUAUAUACAGGCGACACCUACUUGUAAAUUUAUAAAUGAGACCGAGGUUAUUAUAUACAGGCGACACCUACUUGUAAAUUUAUUAAUGAUGCCGAGGUUAUUAUAUACAGGCGACACCUACUUGUAAAUUUAUUAAUGAUGCCGAGGUUAUUAUAUACAGGCGACACCUACUUGUAAAUUUAUUAAUGAAACCGAGGUUAUUAUAUACAGGCGACACCUACUUGUAAAUUUAUAAAUGAGGCCGAUGUUAUUAUAUACAAACGACACCUAUUUGUAAAUUUAUUAAUGAGACCGAGGUUAUUAUAUACAAGCGACACCUACUUGUAAAUUUAUUAAUGAUGCCGAGGUUAUUAUAUACAGGCGACACCUACUUGUAAAUUUAUAAAUGAGGCCGAUGUUAUCAUAUACAAACGACACCUAUUUGUAAAUUUAUUAAUGAUGCUGAGGUUAUUAUAUACAGGCGACACCUACUUGUAAAUUUAUUAAUGAGACCGAGGUUAUUAUAAACAGGCGACACCUACUUGUAAAUUUAUUAAUGAUGCCGAGGUUAUUAUGUACAGGCGACAUUCACUUUUAAAUUUAUUUAUCAGGCCAAACCAUACCUACUUGUAAAUUUAUUUAUGAUACCAAACGACACUCACGAGGUUAUGAUAUGAUAUGCAAAAAACAAUACUUUUAAAUGAUAAAAAAAUGUGUUUUAGAAUAUGCCAUGUUGUAAGAAAACUUUGACUAUAAAUAAUGAUUCGUAAUA
Molecule: long non-coding RNA, 2630 nt
Organism: Leptidea sinapis
Lineage: Eukaryota; Metazoa; Arthropoda; Insecta; Lepidoptera; Pieridae
Exons: 10
Source: RefSeq, a predicted model, not a curated record